UCUCCUGGAAAACGGGUGGUAAUACCGGAUGCUCCGCUCCAUCGCAUGGUGGGGUGGGAAAUGCUUUUGCGGCAUGGGAUGGGGUCGCGUCCUAUCAGCUUGUUGGCGGGGUGAUGGCCCACCAAGGCGUUGACGGGUAGCCGGCCUGAGAGGGUGACCGGCCACAUUGGGACUGAGAUACGGCCCAGACUCCUACGGGAGGCAGCAGUGGGGAAUAUUGCACAAUGGGCGCAAGCCUGAUGCAGCGACGCCGCGUGCGGGAUGGAGGCCUUCGGGUUGUAAACCGCUUUUGUUCAAGGGCAAGGCACGGUUUCGGCCGUGUUGAGUGGAUUGUUCGAAUAAGCACCGGCUAACUACGUGCCAGCAGCCGCGGUAAUACGUAGGGUGCGAGCGUUAUCCGGAUUUAUUGGGCGUAAAGGGCUCGUAGGCGGUUCGUCGCGUCCGGUGUGAAAGUCCAUCGCCUAACGGUGGAUCUGCGCCGGGUACGGGCGGGCUGGAGUGCGGUAGGGGAGACUGGAAUUCCCGGUGUAACGGUGGAAUGUGUAGAUAUCGGGAAAGAACACCA
Molecule: ribosomal RNA, 565 nt
Filed under: Bifidobacterium animalis subsp. lactis
Lineage: Bacteria; Bacillati; Actinomycetota; Actinomycetes; Bifidobacteriales; Bifidobacteriaceae
Description: bacterial SSU rRNA
Rfam family: Bacterial small subunit ribosomal RNA
Source: RNAcentral